The sequence is a transfer RNA, 74 nucleotides long. It matches the Rfam family "tRNA". Rfam says of the family: Transfer RNA (tRNA) molecules are approximately 80 nucleotides in length. Their secondary structure includes four short double-helical elements and three loops (D, anti-codon, and T loops).
GCCUCUAUCAACUGUACCGCUCCCGCGGUCUUUUAAUCCGCAGGUCGUAGGUUCGAGCCCUACUGGGGGCACCA